Ochotona princeps (American pika) is the source of this 102-nucleotide small nuclear RNA. Lineage: Eukaryota; Metazoa; Chordata; Mammalia; Lagomorpha; Ochotonidae. The record is from Ensembl.
GUGCUCGCUUUGGCAGCACAUGUAGUAAAACUGGAACAAUACAGAGGAGAUUAGCAUGGCCCUGCACAAGGAGAUGCAGGCUGCCCUAUACCUCACAUUUUA